AAGCUGAAUUAGAAUUUUCUAAUUAUUCUUUAACAAUUCAGAUAUGUCCUAAGAAUGGUUUGAUUAGGGUACAACUAUAUGAUUUGCAGUAUUUAUUAUAGUUGUAUAUUCUGGUGAUUCUUUGAUCAUAUCCUUGUGGGCAUGCUCUAUCAUGAAAUAAACUACAAGUCAUCCAUUGUACUUCUUGCAGAUUCUCACCAAUGAUUUUCUAUUAAUUCUACUCGGAUAAAUUGGAACCACUCAUUGCAACUAAGAGCUCAAUAGGCAGUUUCCUACAUUUGGCAGCAAAGGUCUUCCCUAAUACAAAGUAAUUUUUCCACUGAAAAAUAAAACUCAUAGGAAAAGAAGAUGAUUUUUAACUGUUGUUCCUUGAGUGAAUUAACUCUCUCUGCUAUGGUGGGAAGAGGAAAAACAACAACAAAAAACAACCUAAUUUCAAUAUUCUCUUUCAUUGUCAAGAACUUUCAACAGGAAUCUGAGAUUAAGACAGAUUUCAUCAAUGUAGGUACUGGCUCUCAAGAAAAUUAUCAAUCAUUCAUGCCAC
Molecule: long non-coding RNA, 544 nt
Filed under: Monodelphis domestica (gray short-tailed opossum)
Lineage: Eukaryota; Metazoa; Chordata; Mammalia; Didelphimorphia; Didelphidae
Description: lncRNA (ENSMODG00000035702.2)
Source: RNAcentral